This 427-nucleotide ribosomal RNA is filed under the name uncultured bacterium. RNAcentral's name for it is "partial 16S ribosomal RNA". It matches the Rfam family "Bacterial small subunit ribosomal RNA", at positions 355 to 774 of the family's 1533-position model. The record is from RNAcentral.
UGGGGAAUAUUGCACAAUGGGCGCAAGCCUGAUGCAGCCAUGCCGCGUGUAUGAAGAAGGCCUUCGGGUUGUAAAGUACUUUCAGCGAGGAGGAAGGCGUUGUGGUUAAUAACCGCAGCGAUUGACGUUACUCGCAGAAGAAGCACCGGCUAACUCCGUGCCAGCAGCCGCGGUAAUACGGAGGGUGCAAGCGUUAAUCGGAAUUACUGGGUGUAAAGCGCACGCAGGCGGUCUAUCAAGUCGGAUGUGAAAUCCCCGGGCUCAACCUGGGAACUGCAUCCGAAACUGGCAGGCUAGAGUCUUGUAGAGGGGGGUAGAAUUCCAGGUGUAGCGGUGAAAUGCGUAGAGAUCUGGAGGAAUACCGGUGGCGAAGGCGGCCCCCUGGACAAAGACUGACGCUCAGGUGCGAAAGCGUGGGGAGCAAACA